GCCCAGCCGUAAACUUUUAUCUACAUCUCAAUCGCCAGGGAACUACGAGCUAAGCUUAAAACCCAAAGGACUUGACGGUACCCCAAUCCCCCUAGAGGAGCCUGUCCUAUAAUCGAUAAUCCACGUUUAACCUCACCAUUUUUAGUUAGUCAGCCUGUAUACCUCCGUCGUCAGCUUACCACGUGAGCGAGAAUUAGUGAGCUUAAUGUUUUUUCACCAACACGUCAGGUCAAGGUGCAGCAAAUGAAAUGGGAAGAGAUGGGCUACACUUUCUACUAUAGAAAAAACGAAAAACUACUUAUGAAACCUAGUUAGAAGGCGGAUUUAGCAGUAAAAAGGAAUCAGCACGUCCAUUUUAACUCGGCACUGGGGUG
RNAcentral lists this ribosomal RNA (374 nucleotides) under Sclerophrys poweri (western olive toad). RNAcentral's name for it is "partial 12S ribosomal RNA". It matches the Rfam family "Bacterial small subunit ribosomal RNA", at positions 794 to 1381 of the family's 1533-position model. The record is from RNAcentral. Lineage: Eukaryota; Metazoa; Chordata; Amphibia; Anura; Bufonidae.